CGAUUUUCUCUUGCAGACAUACAAAGACAUUACGUAUUGAUUGAAUCACUAUGACCUUCCAUAGUGUUAGAGCGUGAAGAAAAGGAAGAUGAGACAGAGAAUGUACAUAAUCCCUCAUGAAUAGCAAUCUACAGACGUCAUUAAUAACUGGAGGCGCAAUGCUCCCAACGUGUAUUCCUUAGUUUCUAGAACAAUGUCUUUUUUGCUGGGAACUUUACCCUGAAGAAAUACAGAACUUUGUUAUAUCUAAAAUGAUGACACUGAGAAUGUAUAUAUUUUCUCUGGAAUAGCAGUCUCCAGGCGACAUUAACAACUGGAAGAGCAAUGAUCCAAAAAAUACAUUCUCUGGUUUCUAGAACAAUGUCUUUUUUCUAAGAACUUUAUCCUGAGGAAAUAUAUUUUUUUUGUUAUUCCUGAAAUGAACGAAUUAAGUAGUAUGGUUUUACUUGCCAAAACAUCCUAAGUUAGAAUAUGACAGCUUAUAUGCAUGUUUUUAUUUUCUUAUCUCUUUUGCAUGUCAUGAAAGAAAAUAAUAAGGCAGGAAAAUAUUUAAACUUUAACACAUGUUUAAUGAUAAUAAUUUAUUGUUGUUUAAACAUAUCAGUGUAUAGACAUCAUGUAUCAUCAUAUCUGCUUAAUGGAUUCGAUAGCAGGACUAUUGUGAACCUGAGAUAAACUGUUUUAUGUGUUUUCAUGAGCCAAGAGUAACUAGAAAGGAAAUCCAACCACAAACUUUAAACAAUAACGAUGUAUUCAAAGAAAUUCACAAAAGACAAUUAUAGUACAAAGCCUUAUUUUUAUAAUAUCUGAGCACUGAAUAUAAUUGAUUUGUAGUUUUAAGAGGACUAAUCCCAGACUGUACGACAACAAAAAAAACGAAAAAUGAAAGAUAUCAUGAACAUUUUGCUAUAUUUCUUCAGAAGGCUUUUAAACUUCGUUUCUGGCAACUUCCUUUUUAUGGAAAUCCAUGAGCAUUUGUUAUUUUCACUAUUUUUUUCAAAUCAAAAUUGAAAAAUUUGUCACGGGUCACUGAAGGUAAUCAGUCUUAAUUAUAAAGCUAAAUAUGUCGUAAAGAAUGAAUUCAUCUAUGUAAGUCUUUAUUGUCGAGGCAAUCCUGGGUCGAUUACGAACUCAGACAUGUUUUUCCUUGAUGUACCAUUUUUAAAUAGUUUAGAAACAAAACUUGAUGUUUUUAUGAUGUUCAUAAUAUGAGCAAACGUCCGUUUUUAAAGAAAGAUCAUAUUUAGGCAAAAUCUGGAGGUCUGUCCCUUUAACAAAGUUGCACAAUGUUAAUCCACCAAACAUUUGGUACUUCGUAUGAACACUUAUACCCAAAAAACACUGUCAAAAUAAUUCACACAAUUUGUUACAAAAAAAAAUCCUAAAAAUGAAUCUUAGUUCAUCCCAGUAUUCUGUUAAUAAUCCUUUUCAGAACUGUAACUUAACUAUAAUCAAAUCAGAAAAGCGAUCCCUUUUAUAUGAAAGUUAAGUAUUUUCAGAAUCGUUUGUUUACGACAUAAUUAUGUAAAUGUUCCUUACCUGGAAAAGAAGUGAAUGGAAGGUUCUAUGUAUGCUCUUAACAGUAGCGUACCUUCCAGAAUGUUCGGGGAAUUAAAUACUAAAAUAGAAUGGGGAAAUUCAUAGGUUAUUAAAGCAAUUACAUAUAUUUUUAAAAUAAACUUUUAAUGAUUUUAUAGAA
Mercenaria mercenaria is the source of this 1699-nucleotide long non-coding RNA. RefSeq lists it as uncharacterized. The transcript has 3 exons. Lineage: Eukaryota; Metazoa; Mollusca; Bivalvia; Venerida; Veneridae. The record is from RefSeq and is a predicted model, not a curated record.